RNAcentral lists this ribosomal RNA (116 nucleotides) under Pteropus alecto (black flying fox). Lineage: Eukaryota; Metazoa; Chordata; Mammalia; Chiroptera; Pteropodidae. The record is from RNAcentral.
GUCUAUGGCCAUGCCACCCUGAACAAGCCCGAUGUCUGAUCUUGGAAGCUAAGAAGGGUCUGGCCUGGUUAGUACUUGGAUGGGAGACCACCUAGGAAGAUCAGGUGCUGUAGGCA